This 1482-nucleotide long non-coding RNA is filed under the name Junco hyemalis (dark-eyed junco). RNAcentral describes it as "lncRNA (ENSJHYG00000008529.1)". The record is from RNAcentral. Lineage: Eukaryota; Metazoa; Chordata; Aves; Passeriformes; Passerellidae.
AUCAUCUUCAGGCUGGAGUGUGUGAGUUACCCCAAUCAGUUUGAACACAUGGUUUGUUGCCAGCCUUGUGGACUCUGUUCUGAAGCUGAUUAGGAAGUGCCCACAAAUUUCUCCACCAGCAGAGUGGAGGAGGAGCUGCCCUGGGAGAGGACCAUGACUUGCACACGCAACUUGCAUUUCCACAAACUCUCUUGCUCCUUGUGUACCUAGCAGCUGUUGCAUGGUAGCUUGAAGGAAAAGCUGAAGAGAUCGUAACAGAGGGAUCCCUGGGGUGGGAAAGACCCCUUGGGAGAUCCCUGAUAUUGCUGAAGGCACCUUGAGCAACAGUCUCUGAAAAGCUCCUUUCUAUAUAAAUGAGGGAGUAGGGACUUAUUUCUAACAGUGUCUGCGUUACAGGGGUCUGAGUCCAAACAGAUUUGCAUUAAAAAAUAAAUAAGGAAAAAAAAAAAAAAAGUUAAGUGAGUAAAAUUACUCCUGUAGCUGUUUUACUCCUGUAGUUGUUUUACACAGCUCAAUGAAGAUAAUUUUAUUGGCAAUCAUGAGUGAUUACAGUAUUAUCUGCCAUCAAAAAAGUUAUUUUUUGAACGCUAAAGGAAUUAAUGAUACAUAAAACUGUGCUUAGAUUGAGUGCAUUCAUCAGCAGAAAUGCCUCGUGCUGGCACUGCUGCACUGUAAUUACUCUGUGUGCUCAGAGGAGGAGAGCAGGAGGUGGGGGUGUUGUGUGUGCUGCCACAGAUUUACACACACUGACACACUGAGCAGCUGGAGCAGGGGUAGCAGAGCCAGGACAGCAAAACUGGGUGAAGCCAGUAUGGAUAAGAUGAUUAAAUGCUCCUCAGAAUACAAAGAGAUGAGUCCAGUCUUUGAAGGAUGCUGCUUCAUUUUUAGAACCUUGUGAUAAAGAAGAUUUUGAAGAGACCGGUGUCCUCACUUUUCCCAGUCUGAAACAUGAUGGAUGGACCUGUGUGAGCCUCUCAGAUCUGUACAUUUCAGCAGAAAAGAAGCAUUUCUGAGCCCUUGUCUAAUUGAAUGCAUCAGGAAAACUUUGUCAAGAGACCUGCUGAUGAGUGAGACCUUUGCAGAAGCUGUAGAAAUCCAGCAAGAGGAACUCACUGCCCAGAAUUUACACUGGAGUUUGGGGAGCGAGGGGGUGAAAGCCAAAGGGGUUAAAAUCCAGCUCCUGGACACCUGUGAAUAUUAAAACACGUCUGCUUUUAAAUGAGUUUUUCCCUUAUGGUUUACAUAAAUUUGACAGCCAACUACAGAAAUCAAGUUGUCCUUUAUGUACAUGACAAAAUCUCAUUAAUUAUUUUACAAAAUUGAGAGUAACUUUCUUUAUGCUUGUGGCUGGCAAUACCAUGAAACUUGAGAGAAACAGAGACUGAAUGAUAUUACCAGAAACAAUGAGGUUCAGCAAAGUUAAACAGUCCACACAAAAUGACGUAAAAUAAAUGAAGACUUUUAAAAUUCCUCUGUUUUUCA